CUCCGGUUUUUAUGAUGUAUACCUAACAUCGGGCUGGCCAGAAAUGGCCUUCAUGCUUGAUGAAUCCAACCUCCAUCUUCGGUUGGUGCCGAGAAUACGGCUGAUUGAAGCCAAAGUGGAGAUCCACAACAAUGGCAUUGAAAAAUGGAGCUAGAUGCUGUGGUAUAACAAAUUUUCACUCAGAUAGCAUUGGUAGGGCCCC
This 202-nucleotide long non-coding RNA is filed under the name Elaeis guineensis (African oil palm). Its description in RNAcentral is "long non-coding RNA (EGUI_LNC028668)". The record is from RNAcentral. Lineage: Eukaryota; Viridiplantae; Streptophyta; Magnoliopsida; Arecales; Arecaceae.